This 73-nucleotide transfer RNA is filed under the name Ailuropoda melanoleuca (giant panda). It matches the Rfam family "tRNA". From Rfam's summary of the family: Transfer RNA (tRNA) molecules are approximately 80 nucleotides in length. Their secondary structure includes four short double-helical elements and three loops (D, anti-codon, and T loops). The record is from Rfam by way of RNAcentral. Lineage: Eukaryota; Metazoa; Chordata; Mammalia; Carnivora; Ursidae.
GCCCGGCUGGCUCAGUAGGUAAAGCAUGUGACUCUUGAUCUCAGGGUCACAAGCUCAAGCCUUGGGUUGGGUG